GGCGACCUGCAGCUGAGGUGGUCCUUGGCACCGGACUUCAAAUCCGGUAUACUCGCGAAGAGUAUACAGUUCGAUUCUGUCAGGUCGCCGCCA
Molecule: transfer RNA, 93 nt
Filed under: Candidatus Helarchaeota archaeon
Lineage: Archaea; Promethearchaeati; Candidatus Helarchaeota
Description: tRNA-Sec
Rfam family: Selenocysteine transfer RNA
Source: RNAcentral